This 428-nucleotide ribosomal RNA is filed under the name uncultured eukaryote. RNAcentral describes it as "SSU rRNA". It matches the Rfam family "Eukaryotic small subunit ribosomal RNA", at positions 477 to 911 of the family's 1831-position model. The record is from RNAcentral.
ACCUCCGUAGGCCCUGUUUACGGUUCUGCAUUGGAUGAGUAACAAUUUAAAUCCCUUAUCGAGGAACAAUCUAGGAGGGCAAGUCUGGUGCCAGCAGCCGCGGUAAUUCCAGCUCCAGUAGCGUAUAUUAAAGUUGUUGCAGUUAAAAAGCUCGUAGUUGAAUUUCGGGGGUGGACGCGGGACUCGCCUUUCGGCGGUGUCUUGCGGUCUGCGCCUUACCUUCUGGGGAGCCGAUGUGCGCUUUACUGCGCGCGCCGGGGAACCAGGACUUUUACCUUGAAAAAAUUAGAGUGUUCAAGGCAGGCGAUAGCUUGGAUACAUUAGCAUGGAAUAAUGGAAUAGGACUUUGGUUCUAUUUCGUUGGCUUCUAGGACCAGAGUAAUGAUUAAUAGGAACAGUUGGGGGCGUUAGUAUUGAGCAUCUAGAGG